This 301-nucleotide ribosomal RNA is filed under the name uncultured bacterium. RNAcentral describes it as "partial 16S ribosomal RNA". It matches the Rfam family "Bacterial small subunit ribosomal RNA", at positions 509 to 807 of the family's 1533-position model. The record is from RNAcentral.
CAGUAGCCGCGGGAAAACGUAGGUGGCAAGCGUUGUCCGGAAUUAUUGGGCGUAAAGGGCUCGCAGGCGGUUUCUUAAGUCUGAUGUGAAAGCCCCCGGCUCAACCGGGGAGGGUCAUUGGAAACUGGGAAACUUGAGUGCAGAAGAGGAGAGUGGAAUUCCACGUGUAGCGGUGAAAUGCGUAGAGAUGUGGAGGAACACCAGUGGCGAAAGCGACUCUCUGGUCUGUAACUGACGCUGAGGAGCGAAAGCGUGGGGAGCGAACAGGAUUAGAUACCCCGGUAGUCCCUGUCUCUUAUAC